UGACCGUGCUAAGGUAGCAUAAUCAUUUGCCGUUUAAUUGAUGGCUGGAAUGAAUGAAUAUACGUAAGCUCAACUGUCUCCUUUUUACCUAUAAAAAUUGACCUCCAAGUGAAGAGACUUGGAUUAACCAAAAAGACGAAAAGACCCUAUAGAGCUUCACCUGACCUUCACUCGUCCAAGAGAAGGUUUAGUUGGGGCAACUAGAGAGUACCUAAAACCUCUCUUCCAAAAAACCUAUUUAGAUCCGUUACACGAUCAGCAGAGAAAGCUACCUUAGGGAUAACAGGCUAAUCCUCUUUGAGAGACCAUAUUGACAAGAGGGGUUGGCACCUCGAUGUUGGCUCAAGGUUACAGCUUGAUGC
RNAcentral lists this ribosomal RNA (362 nucleotides) under Boccardia proboscidea. Its description in RNAcentral is "partial 16S ribosomal RNA". It matches the Rfam family "Bacterial large subunit ribosomal RNA", at positions 1943 to 2553 of the family's 2925-position model. Lineage: Eukaryota; Metazoa; Annelida; Polychaeta; Spionida; Spionidae. The record is from RNAcentral.